Molecule: ribosomal RNA, 400 nt
Filed under: uncultured bacterium
Lineage: Bacteria
Description: bacterial SSU rRNA
Rfam family: Bacterial small subunit ribosomal RNA
Source: RNAcentral
UGGGGAAUUUUCCACAAUGGGCGAAAGCCUGAUGGAGCAAUACCGCGUGAGGGAUGAAGGACCGUGGUUCGUAAACCUCUUUUCUUAAGGAAGAACACAAUGACGGUACUUAAGGAAUAAGCACCGGCUAACUCCGUGCCAGCAGCCGCGGUAAUACGGGGGGUGCAAGCGUUGUCCGGAAUGAUUGGGCGUAAAGCAUCUGUAGGCGGUUUCGAAAGUCGACUGUUAAAGCCCAGGGCUUAACUUUGGAAAAGCAGUCGAGGACUUCGGAACUGGAGUUUGGUAGGGGUAAAGGGAAUUCCUAGUGGAGCGGUGAAAUGCACAGAGAUUAGGAAGAACACCUAUGGCGAAAGCACUUUACUGGGCCAAAACUGACGCUGAGAGAUGAAAGUUGGGGGAG